Molecule: ribosomal RNA, 1518 nt
Filed under: Corynebacterium pseudotuberculosis 258
Lineage: Bacteria; Bacillati; Actinomycetota; Actinomycetes; Mycobacteriales; Corynebacteriaceae
Description: 16S ribosomal RNA
Rfam family: Bacterial small subunit ribosomal RNA
Source: RNAcentral
UUUGUGGAGAGUUUGAUCCUGGCUCAGGACGAACGCUGGCGGCGUGCUUAACACAUGCAAGUCGAACGGAAAGGCCCCUUCGGGGGUGCUCGAGUGGCGAACGGGUGAGUAACACGUGGGUGAUCUGCCUCGCACUCUGGGAUAAGCCUGGGAAACUGGGUCUAAUACUGGAUAGGACCGCGCUUUAGUGUGUGUGGUGGAAAGUUUUUCGGUACGAGAUGAGCCCGCGGCCUAUCAGCUUGUUGGUGGGGUAAUGGCCUACCAAGGCGUCGACGGGUAGCCGGCCUGAGAGGGUGGACGGCCACAUUGGGACUGAGAUACGGCCCAGACUCCUACGGGAGGCAGCAGUGGGGAAUAUUGCACAAUGGGCGCAAGCCUGAUGCAGCGACGCCGCGUGAGGGAUGACGGCCUUCGGGUUGUAAACCUCUUUCGACAGGGACGAAGCUUUUGUGACGGUACCUGUAUAAGAAGCACCGGCUAACUACGUGCCAGCAGCCGCGGUAAUACGUAGGGUGCGAGCGUUGUCCGGAAUUACUGGGCGUAAAGAGCUCGUAGGUGGUUUGUCGCGUCGUCUGUGAAAUUCCGGGGCUUAACUCCGGGCGUGCAGGCGAUACGGGCAUAACUUGAGUGCUGUAGGGGAGACUGGAAUUCCUGGUGUAGCGGUGGAAUGCGCAGAUAUCAGGAGGAACACCGAUGGCGAAGGCAGGUCUCUGGGCAGUAACUGACGCUGAGGAGCGAAAGCAUGGGGAGCGAACAGGAUUAGAUACCCUGGUAGUCCAUGCCGUAAACGGUGGGCGCUAGGUGUGAGGGUCUUCCACGACUUUCGUGCCGUAGCUAACGCAUUAAGCGCCCCGCCUGGGGAGUACGGCCGCAAGGCUAAAACUCAAAGGAAUUGACGGGGGCCCGCACAAGCGGCGGAGCAUGUGGAUUAAUUCGAUGCAACGCGAAGAACCUUACCUGGGCUUGACAUAUACAAGAUCGGCGUAGAGAUACGUUUUCCCUUGUGGUUUGUAUACAGGUGGUGCAUGGUUGUCGUCAGCUCGUGUCGUGAGAUGUUGGGUUAAGUCCCGCAACGAGCGCAACCCUUGUCUUAUGUUGCCAGCACGUGAUGGUGGGGACUCAUGAGAGACUGCCGGGGUUAACUCGGAGGAAGGUGGGGAUGACGUCAAAUCAUCAUGCCCCUUAUGUCCAGGGCUUCACACAUGCUACAAUGGUCGGUACAACGCGUUGCGAGCCUGUGAGGGUGAGCGAAUCGCUGAAAGCCGGCCUCAGUUCGGAUUGGGGUCUGCAACUCGACCCCAUGAAGUCGGAGUCGCUAGUAAUCGCAGAUCAGCAACGCUGCGGUGAAUACGUUCCCGGGCCUUGUACACACCGCCCGUCACGUCAUGAAAGUUGGUAACACCCGAAGCCCAUGGCCCAACCAGUUUCUGGGGGGAGUGGUCGAAGGUGGGAUCGGCGAUUGGGACGAAGUCGUAACAAGGUAGCCGUACCGGAAGGUGCGGCUGGAUCACCUCCUUU